GAUGAACGCUGGCGGCGUGCCUAAUACAUGCAAGUCGAGCGAACAGAUAAGGAGCUUGCUCCUUUGACGUUAGCGGCGGACGGGUGAGUAACACGUGGGUAACCUACCUAUAAGACUGGGAUAACUUCGGGAAACCGGAGCUAAUACCGGAUAACAUUUGGAACCGCAUGGUUCUAAAGUGAAAGAUGGUUUUGCUAUCACUUAUAGAUGGACCCGCGCCGUAUUAGCUAGUUGGUAAGGUAACGGCUUACCAAGGCAACGAUACGUAGCCGACCUGAGAGGGUGAUCGGCCACACUGGAACUGAGACACGGUCCCGACUCCUACGGGAGGCAGCAGUAGGGAAUCUUCCGCAAUGGGCGAAAGCCUGACGGAGCAACGCCGCGUGAGUGAUGAAGGGUUUCGGCUCGUAAAACUCUGUUAUUAGGGAAGAACAAAUGUGUAAGUAACUGUGCACGUCUUGACGGUACCUAAUCAGAAAGCCACGGCUAACUACGUG
RNAcentral lists this ribosomal RNA (497 nucleotides) under uncultured bacterium. RNAcentral describes it as "partial 16S ribosomal RNA". It matches the Rfam family "Bacterial small subunit ribosomal RNA", at positions 28 to 507 of the family's 1533-position model. The record is from RNAcentral.